Molecule: non-coding RNA, 189 nt
Filed under: Myxococcaceae bacterium
Lineage: Bacteria; Pseudomonadati; Myxococcota; Myxococcia; Myxococcales; Myxococcaceae
Description: 6S RNA
Rfam family: 6S / SsrS RNA
About the family: E. coli 6S RNA was the first non coding RNA to be sequenced, but its function was unknown until recently. It consists of 184 nucleotides that fold into an extended hairpin structure with a large single-stranded internal bulge.
Source: RNAcentral
UGUCCCCUGCGGGGUGCGUGAUGGGCAGCUGAAAUACGAACCGAUAGGUCCAUAGCGGGAGUCGUUUCGGGCGCUGUGUGCACGCCCUCCUCGUCAGAGAGAGGGAAGCCUGAGGUGCUCCGACAUCGGUUCCCACCUGAUUUCAGGGUUCUAUGGAUGUUGCCCACACGGCCAUGCGGCGGGGGACGU